GACGAACGCUGGCGGCGUGCUUAACACAUGCAAGUCGAACGAAGAGCGACGGAAGCUUGCUUCUAUCAAUCUUAGUUGCGAACGGGUGAGUAACGCGUAAUCAACCUGCCCUUCAGAGGGGGACAACAGUUGGAAACGACUGCUAAUACCGCAUACGAUCUAACCUCGGCAUCGAGGAUAGAUGAAAGGUGGCCUCUACAUGUAAGCUAUCACUGAAGGAGGGGAUUGCGUCUGAUUAGCUAGUUGGAGGGGUAACGGCCCACCAAGGCGAUGAUCAGUAGCCGGUCUGAGAGGAUGAACGGCCACAUUGGGACUGAGACACGGCCCAGACUCCUACGGGAGGCAGCAGGGGGGAAUCUUCCGCAAUGGACGAAAGUCUGACGGAGCAACGCCGCGUGAGUGAUGACGGCCUUCGGGUUGUAAAGCUCUGUUAAUCGGGACGAAAGGCCUUCUUGCGAAUAGUGAGAAGGAUUGACGGUACCGGAAUAGAAAGCCACGGCUAACUACGUG
RNAcentral lists this ribosomal RNA (510 nucleotides) under uncultured bacterium. Its description in RNAcentral is "partial 16S ribosomal RNA". It matches the Rfam family "Bacterial small subunit ribosomal RNA", at positions 28 to 507 of the family's 1533-position model. The record is from RNAcentral.